RNAcentral lists this ribosomal RNA (305 nucleotides) under uncultured bacterium. RNAcentral describes it as "partial 16S ribosomal RNA". It matches the Rfam family "Bacterial small subunit ribosomal RNA", at positions 338 to 640 of the family's 1533-position model. The record is from RNAcentral.
CCUACGGGGGGCAGCAGUGAGGAAUAUUGGUCAAUGGGCGGAAGCCUGAACCAGCCAAGUCGCGUGAGGGAAUAAGGCCCUACGGGUCGUAAACCUCUUUUGCCGGGGAGCAAGGGCCGGGACGCGUCCCGGCCCGGAGAGUACCCGGAGAAAAAGCAUCGGCUAACUCCGUGCCAGCAGCCGCGGUAAUACGGAGGAUGCGAGCGUUAUCCGGAUUUUUUGGGUUUAAAGGGUGCGUAGGCGGGCUUUUAAGUCAGCGGUAAGAAUUCGGGGCUCAACCCCGUCCGGCCGUUGAAACUGGGGGG